AAGUCGUAACAAGGUUUCCGUAGGUGAACCUGCGGAAGGAUCAUUACUGAAGUGAGUCUUCAUUCAUUGAAGCUUCUUCCCAUUGUGCUGGCUUUGACCGUAUGUAAUGUUGGGGAUUAAACAUGGUUCAAGUUUUUAAUUUGAGCCGUCUCCAACAAUUUAUCUUAUCCUUUAUAAACUUGAACUGAACUCAUUUUGAGAUUACAUAAAAAAUAAUCUUUUAAUACAACUUUCAACAACGGAUCUCUUGGUUCUC
This 256-nucleotide unclassified non-coding RNA is filed under the name Umbelopsis autotrophica. Its description in RNAcentral is "partial internal transcribed spacer region". The stretch from base 1 to 46 matches the Rfam family "Eukaryotic small subunit ribosomal RNA", at positions 1786 to 1831 of the family's 1831-position model. Lineage: Eukaryota; Fungi; Mucoromycota; Umbelopsidomycetes; Umbelopsidales; Umbelopsidaceae. The record is from RNAcentral.